This 91-nucleotide small RNA is filed under the name Tenacibaculum dicentrarchi. RNAcentral's name for it is "Flavo-1". It matches the Rfam family "Flavo-1 RNA". The record is from RNAcentral. Lineage: Bacteria; Pseudomonadati; Bacteroidota; Flavobacteriia; Flavobacteriales; Flavobacteriaceae.
UUCUAGCCCCGAUUGUAGCAAUUGUUUGAGCUCUUUUUUAUUUUUCUUUUUAAAAAAAUAAAAAAAGCGAGUGCGGAAAGCGGGAAAUAGC